RNAcentral lists this non-coding RNA (32 nucleotides) under Homo sapiens (human). The record is from RNAcentral. Lineage: Eukaryota; Metazoa; Chordata; Mammalia; Primates; Hominidae.
UCUGGGAAAGCAAACCAGAAACUUCUACCCUU